UACUUUUAAUGACUCUGAAGUCUGAACUGUAUAUUUCCUAUGCACAGGAAGUUUGUACAGACUAAUUCAUCGACCGAACAAUCAAUUAGAUGAGCGAAGGCGGUUGAGGAUGGCCCUUGAUACUGCCCGAGGAAUGAACUAUUUGCACAACUGCACUCCAGUGAUUGUACACCGUGAUUUGAAGUCACCAAAUCAUCUUGUUGAUAAAAAUUGGGUUGUGAAAGUGCCAACUAAUUGUCAUGAUUGAAUUUUCUUGAUGGCAUGCUGAAUGCUCCUUGUAGAUAUGAUUGAAAGCUUCAGAUGGAGGGACAACACAAGGAUGUAGAGGAGCAAGUUAAGGAUCGCUGAAGAUUCGCAUACUGAACCUAUCACCAAAUCGCCAAAUCAACCCUUUUUCAACAACCUUACGCCCUUUCAAUAUGUUACUCCAUCCCACGGUACUGCUCCGAUCUCUGCAUUCAUUAUAAAAUUGUAUCAAAAAUAUUUACCUUUGAAGAGUCUAGAUAAGAGUGAUUGUGGCUGAGAGACAACUUUCCAAUAUUAUUUUGUUAAUAGCGCCAAAUUUUGAUCCCCUUGGUCCUUAAAAACAAGUCCACCUUCUAAUUUCGGUAUUGUCAUAAUAUCUCAACUAACCCAUGCAAUUUUUCGCUCUGUACCUUUUUGACCCACCAAAAUUGGGAGAGUGUGUUAUGAAUCUCCCUAAUUAAAAUGUCAGAAAGACGGAAACGUGAUAAUGAAUAAAUUGGGAUAGCCUCCCCAACAGCUUUGAUUAGAACAUGCCUGUCUGUAGAAGAGAGAAGUUUUCUUUUCCACCCUUGAACUCGCUUCCUCACCUUGUCC
This is a non-coding RNA of Arachis ipaensis, 840 nucleotides long. NCBI's taxonomy places the organism in Eukaryota, Viridiplantae, Streptophyta, Magnoliopsida, Fabales, Fabaceae. The record is from RefSeq and is a predicted model, not a curated record.